UCAAUUGUUUACAGCAGGCCGGCCCAACCUUUUUCGUCUCGCGGGCCACUUUCAAGUGACGAAAAUCGUUGCGGGCCGCAAACGUUUGUACCAAACAUUAAUACCAGCUACGUCCUGAUUUCGGUGUAGGUAAUUUACAUAAUAAAUAAAAGGUACCGGUUACUGAGUAGGGCUGGCAAAUUAUUCGAAAAUCUAGUCGAAUAUCAAAAUAGCACUUUACAAUUCGAAUAUCUGGUAACACGGGGCGUGGACAAUGUUUAAAUGAGCAUAAUGUGCGCCACUGUUGCGUGAAUAUCAAGUUUAAAGUAGGCCGUUUCGUAAAAUUUGAAACACCAAUACAAAUAUUUAAUGAAGUAACAUUACAAAGAUUUCUGGGCGAAUAGCCUAUAUACAGGAGUUCCAUCGAUCUGGAACCCAAAAUAAGGACGACUGAAAAAUUUCUGCAUUGUGAGCAGAAAUAGCUGGCUUUCCUAUGAGCUCCAGGUUAAUGUCACAAUUACAGACGUCACAGUGUGCGAGGCACUCACACUUCAAGCUUCGUUUAACUUUGAAUUCUUUCCCGUACUCACGAAAAAAGGAUCGCCACACUAACAAUGCUUCAUGCCUAUCUGUGCCUUGCUUCUUUGUGUUCCAAUUAAGAUUGUGUUACUUUUAUGAUGCCACAAUAUGAGUCCAAAUAAGACAAAAUAAGGACACGCAAGACAAAAAUAAGGACGCAAGCUAAAAAUAAGCCAAAAAUAAGGACAAACCUUAGAAAUAAGGGCGGUAUGGAAUCCCUGCCUAUAUAUACUGAUUCGUGACCAAUAUGCAGCAAUGCCAUUAAGUCAAUUUUAUUAGAAUAUUUGACGGAUACGAAGUGACGAUAUUUCCGAAAUCUUAUUUAACUCAAAAAUUUGAUAAAAAAAAAAUACAAACAUAAAAUGUCAAUGAGUCCCAGGACCAGUACCAAAGAUAUUGUUUAUAUUGCGCAAAAAACAGUUCGGCGAGCCGCAUGCUGGCCAGGGAUUAGGCAGCCUUGGUUUACAGUGUCAAGUUGUGGUAGUGGUCUUCUUAUGUUUAAUAAAGCCUAGAAUCGGUAUCCUGUUAUCUUUCAUAACACUACCAAAAUGCAGUACCACCCAAAUCGAAGCAACAACUUUUUUAUUAUUUCAGUGCAGUGUUUUUGGUGUUAUACCUCAUUUUUUGUGGAGUUUGCUCGUUAAAAGAAGCCUAGCUUGAUUAUGCAUGGAGUAUUUGAGGGGCUCCAUACGCGAGAGAAACCUAGAGGAGACAAACUGUCCAAAGAAGUAAUAACGGUAUAUUGAAAAUUUGACAACGGUAGCAUCAUCGUAAUGUGGCAACAACGCGGCAAUUCAAAGUCAGUAGUGCAAACUGGGAAAGGAAAACAAGAGACAUCAUCAGACCCAAAGAAGCAGAGACACAUGUGCUAUAAUGUGGCGAACAGUUCACCAUUCAUAUAUGCAUGGAAAUGGGUCAAUAGUCUUGUAAGAUGAUAUUUAUGACGUCAUUAUUAAUUCUAUACUUGGGUCGCAAGUAACAGUGAGGGAAAGAAUUAGGGUAGUGGUGAUACAUUACAAGUUAGCGAUAAAGUUUAAUUGGUAUGCAAAGUGACUCCGAUGAAGAUUUGGUGGAUAAUGAAUGCAUCUUGGUAUUGAUGUUAGGCCAGGUUCAGGUCUCGCUAGUCCUGAGAUGUUGUAUCAAUAUGGUGGAGAUGGUCACAAAACUUAAUAUGGCUUUUAUUGUUGCAUAUGUGAUACUUGCCUUAAUAUUUUAUUCCAUGUAUUUGAGUCCUGGUUCUUAACCGAUGAAUAUCUAAUUACAAAAAUUGAAUUAUUCUUUUUGAUAUGCGAGCUUUUGAUAAUUGUCAAAUCUCUGGACCAGCCCAGACCGGUCAUGCAAACUGACACUCACAAAUGUUGAUUAACCAAUUAAUAUAUAUAGAUAUUUUUUUGUUAAAUUAAAAGUGUCAUAGAGUUGAAUCUGUUUGUGAUAAUAAAAUCUCUCUC
This is a non-coding RNA of Styela clava, 2006 nucleotides long. The record is from RefSeq and is a predicted model, not a curated record. NCBI's taxonomy places the organism in Eukaryota, Metazoa, Chordata, Ascidiacea, Stolidobranchia, Styelidae.